CGCGACCUACGGGGCGCAGCAGUGAGGAAUAUUGGUCAAUGGUCGGGAGACUGAACCAGCCAAGCCGCGUGAGGGAGGAAGGUACAGAGUAUCGUAAACCUCUUUUGUCAGGGAACAAAGGCGGGGACGUGUCCCCGGAUGAGUGUACCUGAAGAAAAAGCAUUGGCUAACUCCGUGCCAGCAGCCGCGGUAAUACGGAGGAUGCGAGCGUUAUCCGGAUUUAUUGGGUUUAAAGGGUGUGCAGGCGGUCUGUUAAGUCAGCGGUCAAAACCCGGGGCUCAACCCCGGCCCGCC
This 294-nucleotide ribosomal RNA is filed under the name uncultured bacterium. Its description in RNAcentral is "partial 16S ribosomal RNA". It matches the Rfam family "Bacterial small subunit ribosomal RNA", at positions 333 to 624 of the family's 1533-position model. The record is from RNAcentral.